AAUCAACGCUGGCGGCGUGCCUAACACAUGCAAGUCGAACGCGAAAGCCCCGCAAGGGGUAAGUAGAGUGGCAAACGGGUGAGUAACACGUGGGUGAUCUGCCUCAGAGUGGGGGAUAACGACCCGAAAGGGUCGCUAAUACCGCAUAACAUCCUGCGCUUGGAUGCGUGGAGAUCAAAGUUGGGGAUUCGCAAGAACCUGACGCUUAGAGAGGAGCCCGCGGCCGAUUAGCUAGUUGGUGAGGUAACGGCUCACCAAGGUAACGAUCGGUAUCCGGCCUGAGAGGGCGGACGGACACACUGGGACUGAGAC
RNAcentral lists this ribosomal RNA (312 nucleotides) under uncultured bacterium. RNAcentral's name for it is "bacterial SSU rRNA". It matches the Rfam family "Bacterial small subunit ribosomal RNA", at positions 32 to 325 of the family's 1533-position model. The record is from RNAcentral.